RNAcentral lists this ribosomal RNA (803 nucleotides) under uncultured bacterium. RNAcentral describes it as "bacterial SSU rRNA". It matches the Rfam family "Bacterial small subunit ribosomal RNA", at positions 8 to 796 of the family's 1533-position model. The record is from RNAcentral.
AGAGUUUGAUCCUGGCUCAGGACGAACGCUGACGGUGUGCUUUAGACAUGCAAGUCGAACGAGAAAGCCCUUCGGGGUGAGUACAGUGGCGAACGGGUGAGUAACACGUGGGUAACCUACCCCUCGCAGGGGGAUAACCGGGGGAAACCCCGGCUAAUACCCCGUACGCUUGCCGGGCCGCAUGGUCCGGUAAGGAAAAAGGUAGCUUCGGCCAUCCGGCGAGGGAUGGGCCCGCGGUGCAUUAGCUAGUUGGUGGGGUAACGGCCCACCAAGGCUACGAUGCAUAGCUGGUCUGAGAGGAUGAUCAGCCACACUGGGACUGAGACACGGCCCAGACUCCUACGGGAGGCAGCAGUCGGGAAUCUUGCGCAAUGGGCGAAAGCCUGACGCAGCAACACCGUGUGAGCGACGAAGGCCUUCGGGUCGUAAAGCUCUGUUGUUGGGGACGAAGGGCGAAGGGUUAAUAGCCCCUAGCUUGACGGUACCCUUCGAGGAAGCCCCGGCUAACUACGUGCCAGCAGCCGCGGUAAUACGUAGGGGGCGAGCGUUGUCCGGAAUUAUUGGGCGUAAAGAGCGUGUAGGCGGUUCGGUAAGUCUGCCGUGAAAACCUGGGGCUCAACCCUGGGCGUGCGGUGGAUACUGCCGGGCUAGAGGAUGGUAGAGGCGAGCGGAAUUCCCGGUGUAGCGGUGAAAUGCGCAGAUAUCGGGAGGAACACCAGUAGCGAAGGCGGCUCGCUGGGCCAUUCCUGACGCUGAGACGCGAAAGCUAGGGGAGCGAACAGGAUUAGAUACCCUAGUAGUCC